GGAAUUAGGCGUCUAUACAUGCAAGUCGAGCGCGGGAAGCAAGCAGAUCUCCUUCGGGGGUGACGCUUGUGGAACGAGCGGCGGACGGGUGAGUAACACGUGGGCAACCUACCUGUAAGACUGGGAUAACUCCGGGAAACCGGGGCUAAUACCGGAUGAAACAAAGCGUCGCAUGACGCAAUGUUAAAAGGCGGCAUAUGCUGUCACUUACAGAUGGGCCCGCGGCGCAUUAGCUAGUUGGUGAGGUAAAGGCUCACCAAGGCAACGAUGCGUAGCCGACCUGAGAGGGUGAUCGGCCACACUGGGACUGAGACACGGCCCAGACUCCUACGGGAGGCAGCAGUAGGGAAUCUUCCGCAAUGGACGAAAGUCUGACGGAGCAACGCCGCGUGAGUGAUGAAGGUUUUCGGAUCGUAAAACUCUGUUGUUAGGGAAGAACAAGUGCCAUUCAAAUAGGUUGGCACCUUGACGGUACCUAACCAGAAAGCCCCGGCUAACUACGUGCCAGCAGCCGCGGUAAUACGUAGGGGGCAAGCGUUGUCCGGAAUUAUUGGGCGUAAAGCGCGCGCAGGCGGUCCUUUAAGUCUGAUGUGAAAGCCCACGGCUUACCGUGGAGGGCCAUUGGAAACUGGAGGACUUGAGUACAGAAAGGAGAGUGGAAUUCCACGUGUAG
This 673-nucleotide ribosomal RNA is filed under the name Virgibacillus chiguensis. RNAcentral's name for it is "bacterial SSU rRNA". It matches the Rfam family "Bacterial small subunit ribosomal RNA", at positions 38 to 678 of the family's 1533-position model. The record is from RNAcentral. RNAcentral also lists the same sequence under 1 other name. Lineage: Bacteria; Bacillati; Bacillota; Bacilli; Caryophanales; Bacillaceae.